UACGAAGGGGGCUAGCGUUGUUCGGAUUUGCUGGGCGUAACGCGCGCGCAGGCGGCUUUGCAAGUCAGGGGUGAAAUCCCAGAGCUCAACUCUGGAAUUGCCUUUGAGACUGUGAGGCUUCGAGUACGGGAGAGGUGAGUGGAAUUCCCAGUGGAGAGGUGAAAGGCGUAGAUAUUGGGAAGAACACCGGGGGCGAAGGCGGCUCACUGGCCCGUUACUGACGCUCAGGCGCGACAGCGUGGGGAUCAAACAGG
RNAcentral lists this ribosomal RNA (254 nucleotides) under uncultured bacterium. RNAcentral's name for it is "partial 16S ribosomal RNA". It matches the Rfam family "Bacterial small subunit ribosomal RNA", at positions 524 to 776 of the family's 1533-position model. The record is from RNAcentral.